Molecule: transfer RNA, 65 nt
Filed under: Caudoviricetes sp.
Lineage: Duplodnaviria; Heunggongvirae; Uroviricota; Caudoviricetes
Description: tRNA-OTHER
Rfam family: tRNA
About the family: Transfer RNA (tRNA) molecules are approximately 80 nucleotides in length. Their secondary structure includes four short double-helical elements and three loops (D, anti-codon, and T loops).
Source: RNAcentral
GGACUUAUAGUUUAAUUGGCAAAAUAUCAGGCAUGAAGUUAUUGGUUCGAUUCCGAUUGAGUCCA